This 2268-nucleotide long non-coding RNA is filed under the name Xyrichtys novacula (pearly razorfish). Lineage: Eukaryota; Metazoa; Chordata; Actinopteri; Labriformes; Labridae. The record is from RNAcentral.
CAAACACAUGUAUCUCAAUAAGAUCUACGAAAAAGUCAAUGUGAGCGUAUCUGUUCAAUGUACGGUUAAAGGGCUAUUUCGCAUUUUUGGCCGAUUCGCACACAUUGGAAUGUGGCUAACUCCUCCUAAAUCUUUUGUCCCAUCGGCUUCAAAUUUGCUCAGGUCAAUCUACACCCCAUGGCCAUUCAAAGUUGUACAAAUCAUGACACUGCACCCCACAGUUUACGUUCUAGGGGGCGCCAAAGAGGACCCAAAUAUCCACAUUUUUAAAAGUCUUAUAACUUUUUAUUUUUGUCCUCACUGGCCUCCAAGUUUUCUAGGAUGAUGCAAUGUCCAGCCAUCAACACAUUUGUGAAGGAAUUUUUACUCCCCAAAAGAGCGCCCCCCCAUGGCAGGAGAAAAAGUCAAGUUUUCCUGCCCAUCGCUCAAUGGCUCAAACGCAUCGCUCUCUCGGCAAAACCGAAAGGAGGAGCAACUUGCCAUUUGGAUAUAUACUAGCUGUGUUUGUGCCCUCACUCAUGGUCCAGACUUUUUUCAAAAAGGACAUGGAGUUUGUCUGCAGCGAGCGUUUUGGUAGAAACUGCGCCUCCCAUUCAUUAUAAUGGUAAAUGACCACAGACAAGUGCGCACACCAUCUUUGGACCUUGAGUGUGACGCGAUCGGGAGGGGUAGGCGGUCGCGCUGGGGGCGGCACGACACGGCUCGGGCCCGCCAGUGCCCCAACGGGGCCCUAGUUAUUUUUCUGCCCCUUUGAACUGGAAAAUGGCCCACUUCCCACUGGUGAAAAGUCAUGAAAUUUGGCAGGACGACCGGGCCUGGUGAAAAAUUCGAUAUUCUGAAGUCGCCCAAAAAAUCAAAUGCAAAAUGGCUCCAUAGCGCCCCCUAAGGUGAAAAAUUCACAUGAUUGAGUGUCACGCCUGUACGCUUUGUCAAAAUGACACAAAAUUUGACACACACGUGUAUCUCAAUAAGAUCUACAAAAAAGUCAGUGCGGGCGUAUCUGUCAAAUGUACGGUUAAAGGGCUAUUUAGCAUUUUUUGCCGAUCCGCACACAUUGGAAUUUCGCUAACUCCUCCGAAGGCUUUCGUUCCACCGGCACCAAAUUUGCUCAGGCCAAUCUACACCCCAUGGCCAUUAAAAGUUGUACAAAUCAUGACGCUGCAUCCCACGGUUUACGUUCUAGGGGGCGCCAAAGAUAACCCAGAAAUCCACAUUCUUAAAAGUCGUAUAACUUUUUAUUUUUGUCCUCACUGGCCUCCAAGUUUUCUAGGAUGAUGCAAUGUCCAGCCAUCAACACAUUUGUGAAGGAAUUUUUACUCCCCAAAAGAGCGCCCCCCCAUGGCAGGAGAAAAAAGUCCAUUUUUUCUUGUCUCCUAAGGCGAAAAUUCACACUAUUGACUGUCACGCCUUUACGCUUUGUCAUAUUGACACAAAAAUUGACACACACAUGUAUCUCAAUAAGAUCUACAAAAAAGUCAGUGCGGGCGUAUCUGUCAAAUGUACGGUGAAAGGGCUAUUUCGCAUUUUUUGCCGAUCCGCACACAUUGGAAUUUCGCUAACUCCUCCGAAGGCUUUCGUUCCAAAGGCACCACAUUUGCUGAGGCCAAUCUACACCCCAUGGCCAUUAAAAGUUGUACAAAUCAUGACGCUGCACCCCACGGUUUACGUUCUAGGGGGCGCCAAAGAUAACCCAAAAAUCCACAUAUUUAAAAGUCUUAUAACUUUUUAUUUUUGUCCUCACUGGCCUCCAAGUUCUCUAGGAUGAUGCAAUGUCCAGCCAUCAACACAUUUGUGAAGGAAUUUUUACUCGCCAAAAGAGCGCCCCCCCAUGGCAGGAGAAAAAAGUCCAUUUUUUCUUGUCUCCUAAGGCGAAAAUACACAUUGUUGACUGUCACGCCUUUACGCUUUGUCAAAAUGACACAAAAUUUGACACACACAUGUAUCUCAAUAAGAUCUACAAAAAAGUCAGUGCGGGCGUAUCUGUCAAAUGUACGGUUAAAGGGUUAUUUCGCAUUUUUUGCCGAUCCGCACACAUUGGAAUUUCGCUAACUCCUCCUAAAUCUUUUGUCCCAUCGGCUUCAAAUUUGCUCAGGUCAAUCUACACCCCAUGGCCAUUCAAAGUUGUACAAAUCAUGACGCUGCACCCCACAGUUUACGUUCUAGGGGGCGCCAAAGAGGACCCAAAUAUCCACAUUUUUAAAAGUCUUAUAACUUUUUAUUUUUGUCCUCACUGGCCUCCAAGUUUUCUAGGAUGAUGCAAUGUCCAGC